ACUUCUUUUAUAGACAUACAUGCAAAUUAAAAAUUCAUAACAAAAAGUAUGAACAAAAUGGUUAUCAAAUACCAAAGUAACAAAAAUUCAUAACUGUUUCUCAAUUUUGACAUUAGAGACCAAAUUACUAAGUAAAUAGUAAAUACCCUAGGAAUGUAUUGGAUGCGGAAUGAGCGCAAGCUAUUCCUUAGUUCCAAAGCCUCAUCACAUAAGUUCCUUAAAUGCACAUUGUUGAUUUUCCAGGACCCCUGAAACUGUUGUUUACAAAA
RNAcentral lists this long non-coding RNA (269 nucleotides) under Trifolium pratense (red clover). Its description in RNAcentral is "long non-coding RNA (TPRA_LNC009996)". Lineage: Eukaryota; Viridiplantae; Streptophyta; Magnoliopsida; Fabales; Fabaceae. The record is from RNAcentral.